Molecule: ribosomal RNA, 1182 nt
Filed under: bacterium YC-ZSS-LKJ46
Lineage: Bacteria
Description: bacterial SSU rRNA
Rfam family: Bacterial small subunit ribosomal RNA
Source: RNAcentral
CCCAGUUCGUAAGAACAGGGUAUGACGGAGCGGCGAACGGGUGAGUAACACGUGAGCAACCUGCCCCACAGACCGGGAUAGCCCAAGGAAACUUGGAUUAAUACCGGAUUCCCUCGAACAAUCGCAUGGUUGAUCGAGGAAAGGCCUUUGUGCUGUGGGAUGGGCUCGCGGCUUAUCAGCUAGUUGGUGGGGUAAAGGCCUACCAAGGCAUCGACGAGUAGCUGGUCUGAGAGGACGAUCAGCCACACUGGAACUGAGACACGGUCCAGACUCCUACGGGAGGCAGCAGCAGGGAAUCUUGCGCAAUGGGUGAAAGCCUGACGCAGCAACGCCGCGUGGGGGAUGAAGGCCUUCGGGUUGUAAACCCCUUUCAGGAGGGAAGAAAUUGACGGUACCUCCAGAAGAAGGACCGGCCAGCUACGUGCCAGCAGCCGCGGUAAUACGUAGGGUCCUAGCGUUAUCCGGAAUCAUUGGGCGUAAAGAGCUCGUAGGCGGUUCAGCAAGUCGGCUGUGAAAGUCCGAGGCUUAACCUCGGAAUUGCAGUCGAUACUGCUGUGACUCGAGUCCGGUAGAGGAGAAUGGAAUUCUCGGUGUAGCGGUGAAAUGCGCAGAUAUCGAGAGGAACACCAGUAGCGAAGGCGGUUCUCUGGGCCGGCACUGACGCUGAGGAGCGAAAGCGUGGGGAGCAAACAGGAUUAGAUACCCUGGUAGUCCACGCCGUAAACGUUGGAUACUAGGUGUGGCGGUUGUACCAACGACUGCCGUGCCGAAGCUAACGCAUUAAGUAUCCCGCCUGGGGAGUACGGCCGCAAGGCUAAAACUCAAAGGAAUUGACGGGUCCCCGCACAAGCGGCGGAGCAUGCGGCUUAAUUCGAUGCAACCCGAAGAACCUUACCUGGGUUUGACAUCACGGGAAAAACUGUAGAAAUACAGUGUCCGUAAGGGCCCGUGACAGGUGGUGCAUGGCUGUCGUCAGCUCGUGUCGUGAGAUGUUGGGUUAAGUCCCGCAACGAGCGCAACCCUUGUCCUAUGUUGCCAGCGGUUCGGCCGGGGACUCAUAGGAGACUGCCGGGGAUAACUCGGAGGAAGGUGAGGACGACGUCAAGUUAUCAUGCCCCUUAUAUCCAGGGCUGCACGCAUGCUACAAUGGCCGGUACAACGGGCAGCGACCCCGCGAGGGUG